GACGAACGCUGGCGGCGCGCCUAACACAUGCAAGUCGAACGGAGUUGUGUUGAAAGCUUGCUGGAUAUACAACUUAGUGGCGGACGGGUGAGUAACACGUGAGUAACCUGCCUCUCAGAGUGGAAUAACGUUUGGAAACGACUGCUAAUACCGCAUAAGCCCACAGGUCGGCAUCGACCAGAGGGAAAAGGAGCAAUCCGCUUUGAGAUGGCCUCGCGUCCGAUUAGCUAGUUGGUGAGGUAACGGCCCACCAAGGCAACGAUCGGUAGCCGGACUGAGAGGUUGAACGGCCACAUUGGGACUGCGACACGGCCCAG
Molecule: ribosomal RNA, 317 nt
Filed under: uncultured bacterium
Lineage: Bacteria
Description: bacterial SSU rRNA
Rfam family: Bacterial small subunit ribosomal RNA
Source: RNAcentral